CCUUGAGAAAUAGCUGCUCUUGUCCUCUGCACCCUUGGGUGAUGCCACCACCCUUUAGCCCGGGCUCCUGAGGAAGGCAAGCUGAUAAGGGCAAAGGGAUCCAGGUGCACGUGGGCCUCAGGAGGAGACAGGCACUGAGAUCUUCUGGGAGCUGGGACCGCAUUCAGAACUUGGCACAUGAGCCCAGAUGGAGAGAGAGACACAACAAGAUUUUGGGAGACAAGUCAGAGAUCCUGGAGCCUGGAAGUGGAGCUAGUCCCUGAACAGAGCCUUGCCAAGACUCUCAGCAUCCCUCAGACACAUCCAAACCCCUCCAGCUGCUGAGAGGGGCUCCUGCUCCUCGGGGAGACCCUGCAUGCAGGAACCAGCAAAGCUCCAG
Long non-coding RNA from Pseudopodoces humilis (Tibetan ground-tit), 379 nucleotides. RefSeq lists it as uncharacterized. The record is from RefSeq and is a predicted model, not a curated record. NCBI's taxonomy places the organism in Eukaryota, Metazoa, Chordata, Aves, Passeriformes, Paridae.